RNAcentral lists this long non-coding RNA (83 nucleotides) under Junco hyemalis (dark-eyed junco). RNAcentral's name for it is "lncRNA (ENSJHYG00000009995.1)". Lineage: Eukaryota; Metazoa; Chordata; Aves; Passeriformes; Passerellidae. The record is from RNAcentral.
AUGAAAGGUACUGUUGCAGGACAAAGUAAUAUUGGGUAGAAUUGGGAAUGCAGAAACACUCCUUGAACUAUCCAAGAAGAUAC